GACGAAGAACGCAGCGAAAUGCGAUAAGUAGUGUGAAUUGCAGAAUUCAGUGAAUCAUCGAAUCUUUGAACGCACAUUGCGCCUCCUGGCAUUCCGGGAGGCAUGCCUGUUCGAGCGUCAUCAAACCCCAUCGUGCAAAUGAAUUAUUUUUUUUGCGCGGAAGUGACGAUUGAGCGAGAAUAACAAAUCCUCUCGCACCUCGUCGAAAUGAUUGCGGGCGGAAUUUGGGAUCGGGUUCCUCGGCGUAGUGUAUCAAUGCAUAUUUAUGCAACUUGCCGCGGAGUUGAGCCUGACCCACGCGUUCUCGCCGUACAAACACCUCAUUACUUUACAAGUUUUUGACCUCGGAUCAGGUAGGGAUACCCGCUGAACUUAAGCAUAUCAAUAAGCGGAGGA
This 396-nucleotide unclassified non-coding RNA is filed under the name soil metagenome. RNAcentral's name for it is "partial contains 5.8S ribosomal RNA, internal transcribed spacer 2, and large subunit ribosomal RNA". The stretch from base 1 to 120 matches the Rfam family "5.8S ribosomal RNA", at positions 35 to 154 of the family's 154-position model. The record is from RNAcentral.